Molecule: ribosomal RNA, 504 nt
Filed under: uncultured bacterium
Lineage: Bacteria
Description: partial 16S ribosomal RNA
Rfam family: Bacterial small subunit ribosomal RNA
Source: RNAcentral
ACGAACGCUGGCGGCGUGCCUCAUACAUGCAAGUAGAACGCACAGUUUAUACCGUAGCUUGCUACACCAUAGACUGUGAGUUGCGAACGGGUGAGUAACGCGUAGGUAACCUGCCUGGUAGCGGGGGAUAACUAUUGGAAACGAUAGCUAAUACCGCAUAUUAUUGAUUAUUGCAUGAUAAUUGAUUGAAAGAUGCUAUUGCAUCACUACCAGAUGGACCUGCGUUGUAUUAGCUAGUAGGUGAGGUAACGGCUCACCUAGGCGACGAUACAUAGCCGACCUGAGAGGGUGAUCGGCCACACUGGGACUGAGACACGGCCCAGACUCCUACGGGAGGCAGCAGUAGGGAAUCUUCGGCAAUGGACGAAAGUCUGACCGAGCAACGCCGCGUGAGUGAAGAAGGUUUUCGGAUCGUAAAGCUCUGUUGUAAGAGAAGAACGGGUGUGAGAGUGGAAAGUUCACACUGUGACGGUAUCUUACCAGAAAGGGACGGCUAACUACGUG